ACUAAGGUGUCUGAUUUAAGUAAUAAACUGUAAAUUUAUGUAAGGAUUAAAAAUUCUCUUAGUA
RNAcentral lists this transfer RNA (64 nucleotides) under Cicadula sp. EMHAU-2015-Zz052713. RNAcentral's name for it is "tRNA-Tyr". The record is from RNAcentral. Lineage: Eukaryota; Metazoa; Arthropoda; Insecta; Hemiptera; Cicadellidae.